UCUCCUCUGUUUCCAAGCCUUUGUUAGUUGAGAUUUCUGCUGCUAACGGCCAAAGCCAUUCCUCACUGCUGUUGACUUUCCCAGUAUUUAUUGAUCAUUCUUGGGUGUUUCUCAGAGAAGUCACAAAUUCUUGCUAAUAUCAUUCAAUCAAUACCUGCUGCUACUUGCCCCGGAGGGAGCAAUUUAGAGUUGACCAUGUGAGAAGCUGCAUCUCCAUCAACCUAAAAACAUCAACCCUUGAAUUCAGAGCUGCUGCAUUUCUACUUGAAGCUCAAGCUCAAGUUCUGUUUUCUCUGCUCAUCUGGAUCCACUCCAGCCACACUGGCCUCCUUGCUGCUUCUCAAAACACACCAGCCUCAUUCCUGUAUCUAGUUCUAUGUUUUUGUUUUGCCAUAGCACUUAAAACCUUUGGACAUAGUAUAUCAUUUACUUAUUCAUUAUGUUUCUUUUUUAUUUGUUUGUCUUCCCCUGCUAGAAAGUAAGCCAAAGACAGGAAUCUUUGUUCUGUUCAUUGAUAUAGCCAAGGUUCUAAAGCACUUCCUAGCAUAUAAUGGGUGCUCAAUAUAGCUUGUUAAAUGAAUGAUUUAAUUGAUUUAUUGAUCUUUCUCUGCAUGGGCAAUCACUUGUGUCUCUUGAGAAUCUGUUUUGGCUGCUUUGUCUUCGUCUUCUCAAGGCGCCCCCUAGAAAUCAUAGCCAAGUGAAUUCUGCAGAGACCACACAGCCUACAUAUCAAGCAGACCUUCCAAACUCAGUGGAAGUCUUUUCACAGUAUGGUUACAAACAGAAACCAUAGCAGCUUUAUUGAGAUAUAAUUCACUUACCUUAAAACUUACCCUUCUAGGGGCCGGGCACAGUGGCUCACGCCUGUAAUCCCAGUACUUUGGGAGGCCAAGGCGGGCAGAUCACGAGGUCAGGAGAUCGAGACUAUCCUGGCUAACACAGUGAAACCCCAUCUCUACUAAAAAUACAAAAAAAUUAGCCGGGCGUGGUGGUGGGCGCC
Molecule: non-coding RNA, 1000 nt
Filed under: Pan troglodytes (chimpanzee)
Lineage: Eukaryota; Metazoa; Chordata; Mammalia; Primates; Hominidae
Source: RNAcentral